AACGGAGGGGACAAGUGUUACUCGUCUUGAUUGGGCGUAAAGGGUCCGUAGACGGUUUAGUUUCAAUCUAAAGUUAAAUCAAAUAAACUUUAGAUAUUGCUAGACUAGAGUCAUGGGGGAGAUGGAGGUACUUCUAGUGUAGGGGUGAAAUCCGUAAAUACUGGGGGGACUACCACUCGGCGAAAGCAUCCAUCUAUACAUGUACUGACGUUGAGGGACGAAAGCGUGGGGAGCAAACAGG
This 241-nucleotide unclassified non-coding RNA is filed under the name uncultured bacterium. Its description in RNAcentral is "contains 16S-23S intergenic spacer region". It matches the Rfam family "Bacterial small subunit ribosomal RNA", at positions 524 to 776 of the family's 1533-position model. The record is from RNAcentral.